GCACUCCGGAUGAUAUUUAGACUUGAACUUAAGAAUUUUGCCUUAAAUAAACUUUAAGCCAAUGGUAAAUUACUUAUAUAAGUACAAUGUAAUGGAUAUUGGUAUUCCAUAAAAAUGACGAUUAGCAGGCAAUAGCACGUAAUUGCUUCUUGCUUAUUGAUAUUAUUUGGUCGAGAAUAAGAUAUGUUAGGGAAAUACAAAUUUCCUUGAUUCUGGAUAAAAGCCCUAAUAAAAGAGGCACUUUUAAAAAUCUUGAAAAGAUACUAUUUAUGGGAAAUAGAAAAUUUUCUCCGGCAAAACUGGGUAUAGAGUAGCAGACUCUCCAGCUUGUCCGGAUAUACUGAGAUUACCUCUCCGGCGCGAACCGGAUAAGACAGGGUACAUAGUAUGUCAAACAAGUAAC
RNAcentral lists this long non-coding RNA (403 nucleotides) under Helianthus annuus (common sunflower). RNAcentral describes it as "sRNA HanXRQr2_Chr03g0098741". Lineage: Eukaryota; Viridiplantae; Streptophyta; Magnoliopsida; Asterales; Asteraceae. The record is from RNAcentral.